Molecule: long non-coding RNA, 1741 nt
Organism: Ctenopharyngodon idella (grass carp)
Lineage: Eukaryota; Metazoa; Chordata; Actinopteri; Cypriniformes; Xenocyprididae
Exons: 4
Source: RefSeq, a predicted model, not a curated record
GGUAUCAUUUGUGAUCAGGCACUGAUAGAAUUACGCUAAACGCUAAUAGCUGUUUUAACAAAAAACUCUCUUCGAUAUUUUCCACUCUGCCAGAAUAUAAAAAAUGUCAACACAAGGUCAAUUUUUGUCUAUUUAGGAAUGGCAUACAACCAUUUAGACUCCUAAUAAUGAAUGAUAAUGCAGAAAAUAUUAUCAAAAAGAGUAUAUAGAGUGCUGCAGGGACGACACAUUUUUGUAGGCCAAAACCCAGAAACGAGUUAGCAUUUUAGCACUUCCGGAUCCAUCAUCCCAAAGUCAGUGUUUUUUGAAUGGGCUUUUGGUUAAAUAGCUGAUAUAAGGCUGUUAUGUCUCUUCAAAAAGGGGCAUGCUAAGAAGUGGCUAAAUGGGACUACAGAGGCUGUCGGGGACAUUAAACAUCAUCACGCCAAGUGCACUCCAGCAUCAACUCUACUGUGUUACCUGAUAAGACUGAUGGUGACUGGGUUCAUCAAGGACAGGACAUUAUACUGACCACUGCAGACCGGGAACACCCCACAAGACCUGCAGUUUUGGAGAUGCUCUGACCCAGUCGUCUAGCCAUCACAAUUUGGCCCUUGUCAAACUCACUCAAAUCCUUACGCUUGCCCAUUUUUCCUGCUUCUAACACAUCAACUUUGAGGACAAAAUGUUCACUUGCUGCCUAGGAUUAUUCACUUCACCUGUCAGUGGUCAUAAUGUUAUGCCUGAUCGGUGUGUAUAUAUGUGGUAUAUCCAAUUGGUGACAUAAUAAAUGUCUUGAAUGUUAUUGGAAGCUAACUGACUCAAAUUGUGCUGUCAAGAAAAUGUCAGUAAAAAACAUCUAAGCAAGAACAACAUCCUGAGAAAUGAUCAACACAAACGAUCAUCUUGUAUACAGAGCCAGUCUCUCGAUGAAGAAAGAACGUUCUACAUCUGAGACAAAUCAUUUCAACCAUAUUUCCACAUGCUCAGAGGAUUCAUUCGGAACAUAAGGAGUCUCUGAUUUGGCACAAGACAGCCUACGCAAAAAUAAACUUAAUUUAGGGCCCACCAGCAUUCAUUAAGAGCCAAAAACAGAAACCUAUUUAGACAUCUAAGAUUAUAAAAGUUUGGAUUUUUAGAAAUGUUUUAGCUUUUUGUCACACUUCUCAAAGUCAAAAAUUUUCAUAUAUAUUUCUUAAAGGGGUCAUGAAUUGAGAAAUCAACUUUUCCUUUAGCUUUUGAUAUAUAAGAGGUCAUCGUACUAUAAGAAAACUGAAAACUUCCUUGUUAGUCCAAUAAAAGCUUUUAUUGACACCAGGCCCAGCAAACGACUGAUCCUGGAAUUUGCCUAUAUCUACGACAUCAUAGAUAGGUGAAACCCCACCUCCGAAGAAGAAAUCAACACUUACUUCAUCUUUGCAAUGUUAGCCCCGCCCACUGGUGUGUUAGUAAGAUGACGAGGGGAUAAGAGCGAUACAGGACUAAAAAUAACAUUACCUUUCAAAGGAUCCUAAUGCUAGGAAUAUGGUUAUUUAUUUUCAACAAUGUGAAUGUCUUGGUUGAGCAUUAUUAUUUGUAUUCGGUACAUUUCACUGUGAAUUCUUUGGUACAUCAAUCGCAUUUCGGUGCAGUCUUUCCAAACAGACUUUUACGAUAUGGACUCGACAGUAAUGCAACAACAUGUAACUGUGUUAAUUCUAAUGCCUGAUCUGAUAUGUAAUGAUUUAUGUACAGUCAGAUGUUCUUUGUCUAUGUGUCAGUA